GCACCUGGCCCACAAGACGUGCGUGCAGGAGCUGACGGCGCACCGCAAGAAGCACGAGGAGGCCGUCCACGCCGUCGCCUUCCACCCCAGCCGGGCCCUCAGCGCCAGCGCCGGCGCCGACGCCCUCGCCAAGGUCUUCGUGUGACACCCAGGGGACGGGGGGGGGGGGGGGGGGGGGACACACGGGCCCCCCCGCGUACCGGGGGGAGGGGGGGCCUUUGUCACCUUCCCUGCCCCCGGGGAGCUGAGACUGGUCUUUACCUUGGAGCUCGUGACACCCCAGGGGCAGCCCCGGUCGCUCUCCUGGUGCCCCCCCCCCCCCCCCCCCCCCUCCCCAGGGAGCCUGGCUGGGGGGUGCAGGGGGGCACCUAUGGGCUCUCUAUACCCCCCCGGGGGCAAUUAUGGGCUCUGUAUACCCCCUGGGGCAGUUAUGGGCUCUGUGUACCCCUCUGGGGGCAAUUAUGGGCUCUAUAUAACCCCCUGGGGCAGUUAUGGGCUCUGUGUACCCUUCUGGGGGCUCUAUUUACCCCCCCCCGGGGCAGUUAUGGAACUCUAUAUACUUCCCCGGGGCAAUUAUGGGCUCUGUGUACCCUUCUGGGGGCACCUAUGGGCUCUAUAUACCCCCCUGGGGCAGUUAUGGGCUCUGUGUACCUCUCUGGGGGCAAUUAUGGGCUCUAUAUAACCCCCCCGGGGCAGUUAUGGGCUCUGUGUACCCUUCUAGGGGCACCUAUGGGCUCCAUAUACCCCCCCCGGGGCAGUUAUGGGCUCUGUAUACCCCUCUGGGGGCAGUUAUGGGCUCUAUAUACCCCCCCCCGGGGCAAUUAUGGCCUCUAUAAACUCCCUGUGGGGCAAUUACAGGCUCUGUGUACCCCCCCCCCCGGGGCAGUUAUGGGCUCUGGGUACCCCUGGGGCGGGGGUACUUCCAGGCUUUAUAUACCCCCCUGAGGGGUACUUAUUGGCCCUAUAUACCUCCCCUGGGGGCAGUUAUGGGCUCUAUUUCCCCCCCCCAGGGGCACUUAUGGGCUCUAUAUGCCCCCGAGUGGCAAUUAUGAGCCCUAUAUACCUCCCUGGGGGCAGUUAAAGCCUCUACAUACCCCCCCUGUCCCGUCCCCCCCCCCCCCCCGGGGCAGCUGUGGGCCCCGUCUCGUCCCGGGGGGGUGGGGGGGGGCAGCUCUCCAUACCCCCAGGGGUAGUUAAGGGCUCUGUGCCCCCCCCCCGGGGCAGUUACCGUCUCAGUCUACCCCCUGAGGGGACACUACACCCCCCCACCCCCCCCGGGGGCACCCGUGGGAUCUGCCCCA
This 1301-nucleotide long non-coding RNA is filed under the name Calidris pygmaea (Spoon-billed sandpiper). Its description in RNAcentral is "lncRNA (ENSCPGG00000009632.1)". The record is from RNAcentral. Lineage: Eukaryota; Metazoa; Chordata; Aves; Charadriiformes; Scolopacidae.